UCUCUCCCCCAUAAAGUUUAGCCUUUUGUUCUUUCCAUAUUUUUCAAUAAAAAUUUUACUUCCAUUACACCGAUUUUCUUUUCCUCAGAAAUCAUGAGCCACUAAACUUAUCUAGCCAAAAGUUGUCAAAAAUCACCAAAAAAAGUUGAUGAGGCUUAGAAUUCGCGCUUAGCUUUCUCAAAAGAGUAUUCGUCGUUUUUUCACAUUAUGGGGCUGACGCUUCCGUCCAUAUCCCUUAAAAAGUGAUCUUUUCAACGUGUGUAAGGAACGACUACUUUGUAUAUUUUGGGAAGGUUGCACAGUCGGUUCAUUAGCUUACUGCGUCAAAGGUUGGUGAGCCUAAGAGAUAAAGUGGCGUGGUAUUCGCCAUUGAGAAGUGAUGAUCUAGCAUAAGAUGAUCCCACAAAAGUAAUUGUUGGCUAGAGUCAGGUUUCGCUAAAUCGUAAGUCUAAAAUCUUGGAGCUGGUGGUCGUAGGCGUCCUCUUCCACUAUAACUGGCUUAUUCUGUUUUUUAUCAAAACUUUUAAUUCUUUUUUUUCCCCAGGUAUGUAGGUUUUCUUGGGCACGAUUCUGACCAAGAUUUCGAGAAACAAGCAAUUGUGUAAAUCCGGUCCCUGAAGAUUUGACCCUACUUCUCUUAUACUAUUAUUUUUAUUAUUUCCAAUAUUUUAUAGGGAUAUGAUUUUUUGGUGCUCUUAACGACAACAUCACUUAUUGAUAGUGAAAUACCCC
RNAcentral lists this long non-coding RNA (732 nucleotides) under Gossypium barbadense (sea-island cotton). RNAcentral's name for it is "long non-coding RNA (GBAR_LNC012274)". The record is from RNAcentral. Lineage: Eukaryota; Viridiplantae; Streptophyta; Magnoliopsida; Malvales; Malvaceae.